AUAGUCUAGCGGCGGACGGGUGAGUAACACGUGGGCAACCUACCUUAUAGUUUGGGAUAACUCCGGGAAACCGGGGCUAAUACCGAAUAAUCUAUUUUACUUCAUGGUGAAAUACUGAAAGACGGUUUCGGCUGUCGCUAUAAGAUGGGCCCGCGGCGCAUUAGCUAGUUGGUGAGGUAACGGCUUUAGUCUCACCAAGGCGACGAUGCGUAGCCGACCAAGGGUGAUCGGAUUAGUCCCACACUGGGACUGAGACACGGCCCAGACUCCUACGGGAGGCAGCAGUAGGGAAUCUUCCACAAUGGGCGAAAGCCUGAUGGAGCAACGCCGCGUGAGUGAAGAAUAUUAGUCGGUUUUCGGAUCGUAAAACUUGUAAGGGAAGAACAAGUACAGUUAUCGUGUUAGUAACUGGCAGUAUUAGUCUGUACCUUGACGGUACCUUAUUAGAAAGCCACGGCUAACUACGUGCCAGCAGCCGCGGUAAUACGUAGGUGGCAAGCGUUGUCCGGAAUUAUUGGGCGUAAAGCGCGCGCAGGCGGUCCUUUAAGUCUGAUGUGAAAGCCCACGGCUCAACCGUGGAGGGUCAUUGGAAACUGGGGGACUUGAGUGCAGAAGAGGAAAGUGGAAUUCCAAUGUACGAAGUGUGGAUCGUAGCGGUGAAAUGCGUAGAGAUUUGGAGGAACACCAGUGGCGAAGGCGACUUUCUGGUCUGUAACUGACGCUGAGGCGCGAAAGCGUGGGGAGCAAACAGUUAGAUACCCUGGUAGUCCACGCCGUAAACGAUGAGUGCUAAGUGUUAGGAGUCAGUGGGAAACCAGUAGUUUCCGCCCCUUAGUGCUGA
Molecule: ribosomal RNA, 841 nt
Filed under: Lysinibacillus macroides
Lineage: Bacteria; Bacillati; Bacillota; Bacilli; Caryophanales; Bacillaceae
Description: bacterial SSU rRNA
Rfam family: Bacterial small subunit ribosomal RNA
Source: RNAcentral